AUCUCAAUCAGGAGGACUACCCCCCUGAACUUAAGCAUAUCAAUAANGGGGAGGAAAA
Molecule: ribosomal RNA, 58 nt
Filed under: uncultured Thelephoraceae
Lineage: Eukaryota; Fungi; Basidiomycota; Agaricomycetes; Thelephorales; Thelephoraceae
Description: partial 28S ribosomal RNA
Source: RNAcentral